GACGAACGCUGGCGGCGUGCUUAACACAUGCAAGUCGAGCGGUAAGGCCCUUUCGGGGGUACACGAGCGGCGAACGGGUGAGUAACACGUGGGUGACCUGCCCUCAGCUCUGGGAUAAGCCUGGGAAACCGGGUCUAAUACCGGAUAUGACUCCAUGACGCAUGUUGUGGGGUGGAAAGCCUUGUGCGGCUGAGGAUGGGCCCGCGGCCUAUCAGCUUG
This 219-nucleotide ribosomal RNA is filed under the name uncultured bacterium. RNAcentral's name for it is "partial 16S ribosomal RNA". It matches the Rfam family "Bacterial small subunit ribosomal RNA", at positions 28 to 248 of the family's 1533-position model. The record is from RNAcentral.